UUUGUUGCUUGUGUUCGAAUGUGCGAUACACGUACCUGUCGGCGUGAGGGUGCAUCCAUCGCUUUAGAAUAUCGUUCUCUGUUAUGCUAACAUACUUAAUACUUGAUUCAUGUGCGAGGGUAACUUAAAACAUAAAAUAGUUUUUCGUGUUUUUUCUUACAAAAUCUCAGAGGCUGUUGAUCAUCCAAUGCUUAGAAAAUGAUUAAAAUAAUGCAAUACCAAGGCUACACAAAGAGUUGUUUUUAAACUAUUUCUUAAUUUGAAACUAUUUUUAAACGGGUUUUCUUUACAACCAGCACCUCAUAAAAUUAACUCAGUAAAGCAAAGUAAAGCAGAGUUCUUCUGUUAUGUUAAAAAAGAGAGAGAAAUAAUUCAUCUGAAACAAACAAAUAAAUUCUCAGAAAACUUUACGAACGAAAUUUCAGAAACAUGACAAAAAGAUGUUUCAAAAAAAAAGAGCACCAAAAAGAAAGACAUUCGAGAAGCACAGAACAUGAGCCGAAAAGGAAACAGUACGAAAGUCAAUCAAAACGCAACGCCACAACGUUUGAGAAGAUUCGGGUCUAAAACAAAUUCUUGGAAAAUGUUCACAAACACAUACACACGAAGCCAGGGACUUGGACGGGUAGAAAUGGUGUGGAGGAAUCCGAAAGUGAAGGAACCACUUUGGACUCCUUUUCCUUUAUGCUGCGUGUGCUGGAUAUUUUAUUCCUGCAUUCGAAGGAUUGAAGUAGGUAGCAGCUUUUUCUGUGUGUGUUUUUUUUGCAUGCGAUCUUUGAGAACUUACAGACGCUUUGAUAUCAUUAACAAGAAAAUUAUUUCAAAUGGUAAAUUUUGGAUUUUUUGCUUAUUUAAGAAUAUUUGUACAACAACAGUAUAAGCCAUACACACCGACAGCUAGUGCCUCAAAGCAUGAAACAAGUCUGGAACGGGAAAGAAAACUCGAACGAAAAUAGGAAUGCGAUAGAGGAAUGGAAAAGCAUUCUUCUGCGAGAAACCGAGAACAAGAGUAAACGAUAGAAAUGGAAAGGGCACGUCGAUUACGUAGGUGAACCCGGGAAAGUCGCCUUUGCCAAUCGCCCUGCAACGAUCGAGAGACGAAGACGGCCGAACGAACGAUCGCUUGGGUAGAAAACUACUGCAAAUAGCGUUCGUUUGGCGACCGCUUAACGCGUCGAGAACAAGGCUCUAAUGUCUGACGAGAAAUCCCUUUGGUUCCCCGGCGAGGAGCCAGUUGCGAUUGUCUGCUGAAACCUAAGCGAAACGUACAGAUUUGUUUAGAGCUACGGAUAUCAAAGGAAAUGCAUGCCAAGGCACAAGACAGACGAAGCAAGUGCACGAUCGCCGACGACCAAUUUUCGUUGGUCCGUUGGGCUAGUGUGGGGCUAGCUCGUUGUGUAGGGGCGCGAGCUUAACAGUGCCGUGUCCUUAAAGCCUGGCCUGGCACAACGCGAGCUCCGCAAUGCAGCAACAGCGCCGCCUGGACGACCCCGUCCCUCUGGGCAGGCUUGUUGGGCUGUGGAGGGCUUCGGAUUUGAAUACAACAAACCACCACACACUAGCGCCCGAAUGUGUCUGGACACGUACACAGAACGUGCACAGGGCCCGGUACGCACACACGCAGAAAUUUUAGCUGCCAAAGAGCUGAAGCAGGAAAGACGACAGCAGCAGCAGCAGCAGCAGCAACAGCAACAGCAACGGUGCAGAAGAGAAGAGGGCGGGCGCGCCGCGGCACCCUGCCCGGCUCCUCCUUACUUCUAUGCCGGAAACCCCCACGGACGAAAACCCGGUACUUUCUGGGCCGAACACAGCGCAGAAUCUACAUUAAAGUUCUGGAUGAGAAGAGAGCUCGAAACGCGUCGGCCUGUGCCUGUGUGAGCCUGAACCUGAAGCCCAUCAUCCCGUCGGAGGGAGCGGAACGCUCCAUGCACGCGGGAGGCUGCGUGCGUGCGACUGCGACGACGAAUGGCUCCUGUGUCCCGACGGCCGAACAACGUGAAACGUGAAGCCGGCGGAGCGCACAUAGCCCCAACACACAGGGAGCUUCCAUCUCCCUCACUCGCACGCUUCCACUCCCAGGGUUUCACGUGCAUGCGAACACGCGUAUGUAUGCUUGCGCUAGAUGGCACGGAGGAAAUGGGACGGCGAAUGCACUGGGCCAGAACGACGAAACAGCACCGCCAAAGCUCCCUGGAUCCUUGAACGGCUGGGCCAGAGAGCGGGGGUGCAGUUCUGCAGAGUGCCUUCAAUCUGGCUUUAAAGUAGGUGGUAUAGUACAGCUAGUAGUACUUUUUAAGGUACGGCGUUUUCUCAUCCACGUAGAAGGAACUUCAGGAUAUGCUGCUGCACCAAGCAAACACAUACAAGUUCCUUCGAGCCUUAUGGUCCUAUUGGUGGCCAGUGCAAAUUUCCCACUAAGCCAGCAGGGGGAGAUAUGGGUCAUACCGCAUGUUCACCGAACCAUGCCUUGGACUGGCACAUCUUACCUGUAAAGUCGCAUUCGUCGUGUUCGAUAUUAAUGAAUCAUACAAACUUGAUCUCUACAAAACAAAUGCUAUGUGUCAAUCAUUCUUAAGAAUGCUGCGAUGGUAACCUCAUUACUUUGAAGACGAAUGUUCCGUUCCUGGAUAAAUUCCAGGCUGGAUCUUUCAUGUUUUGUGUUAAACCUCGCACCCUUGGCGAAGGGUAGAUAAAAUAGUUUUGUGAUUCAGUUGAAAGUGCGAAUAGUUUCAAAGGGAAUGUAGUAACACCAUUCAUAAAUACUUUUUUAUUUAUAUUCAAAAUAUGUCGACUUGUUGCCGUAUUGUAAACGAAUAAUUUUCGAAUGACGAACAAUAUUUCAUUAAUAUUUUUUGCACCAUGUUGGACCGUCAUAUUUAAUGAAUAAAUAAAAUAACUAACAUAUUUCGGAAA
Molecule: long non-coding RNA, 2913 nt
Organism: Anopheles stephensi (Asian malaria mosquito)
Lineage: Eukaryota; Metazoa; Arthropoda; Insecta; Diptera; Culicidae
Exons: 3
Source: RefSeq, a predicted model, not a curated record